Molecule: ribosomal RNA, 433 nt
Filed under: uncultured bacterium
Lineage: Bacteria
Description: partial 16S ribosomal RNA
Rfam family: Bacterial small subunit ribosomal RNA
Source: RNAcentral
AACGAACGCUGGCGGCAUGCCUAACACAUGCAAGUCGAACGAGACCUUCGGGUCUAGUGGCGCACGGGUGCGUAACGCGUGGGAACCUGCCCUUAGGUUCGGAAUAACUCCCCGAAAGGGGUGCUAAUACCGGUUAAUGUCUUCGGACCAAAGAUUUAUCGCCUUUGGAUGGGCCCGCGUUGGAUUAGCUAGUUGGUAGGGUAAAAGCCUACCAAGGCGACGAUCCAUAGCUGGUCUGAGAGGAUGAUCAGCCACACUGGGAAUGAGACACGGCCCAGACUCCUACGGGAGGCAGCAGUGGGGAAUAUUGGACAAUGGGCGAAAGCCUGAUCCAGCAAUGCCGCGUGAGUGAUGAAGGCCUUAGGGUUGUAAAGCUCUUUUACCCGGGAUGAUAAUGACAGUACCGGGAGAAUAAGCACCGGCUAACUCCGUG